UCCUGCGUACAGGGAACACGCAACCCCGAAGGAUCGGGGAAGGGACGUCGCCAGGGAGGCGAUUCAUCAGGACGAUGACGAGGGACUGAAGAGUGGGCGGGGUAAUACCCCGCCCCUUUUUUU
RNAcentral lists this small RNA (123 nucleotides) under Pseudomonas aeruginosa. The record is from RNAcentral. Lineage: Bacteria; Pseudomonadati; Pseudomonadota; Gammaproteobacteria; Pseudomonadales; Pseudomonadaceae.